Molecule: long non-coding RNA, 791 nt
Organism: Caretta caretta (loggerhead turtle)
Lineage: Eukaryota; Metazoa; Chordata; Testudines; Cheloniidae
Source: RefSeq, a predicted model, not a curated record
UCAACAGAGAGCAGCCUCAGCCUGGUGGCUGACUAUCUACAGGCAAAAAGGAAAUGUAGCCUAGAUAUCAAAAUAUAUUUCUAUGACACAGAGUCAAGCACACACAACUCAAUUGUCGGGAGUGCUCCAUUUCAGAUUCAAGCGUCAAUUAAGCACUGAAGAUAGGAGAAAACAUUAUGUGUGAAUAUAUUUUUGGAUCUAUUUCAAUAUGAGUUGAUGACUCUGUGUGAACUGAACAGAGCUGUCCAUGAACACUGAUGUCAUGGAAUCUAGAUGUUUACUCCUCAAGCUUUAUCUGUCCCCUAGGACAGUGGUCACCAAGCUUUUUGGAUCACGCACCCCCAGGUCUAGGGAAGCAAAAAAAAGAAGAAGAAGAAGAAGAGCUGCCGCCGAAGACGGAGCGGGUAGAGCCGAGCUGCCGCCGGCAUGCUGCCGAAGACGGAGCGGGGAGAGCCGAGCUGCCGCCGGCAUGCCGCCGAAGAAUCAAAGGUCCAGGAGCGCUGUUGCCACCGUGCUGACGGCGCUCCUCCUGCCGCAUACCCCCAGGGAUGGUCUUGCGCACCCCACUUUGGAGACUACUGCCCUGGGAAGCUAUACACCUAUAUUAGGAUGACAAGAUGUCCCGAUUUUAAAGGGACAGUCCUGAUCUGGGGGGCUUUUUCUUAUAUAGGCACCUAUUACCUCCCACCCCCGUCCCAAUUUUUCACACUUGUUAUCUGGUCACCCUAACCUACAUUCUGAAUAGUUCAGUGCUGUAGCCUCUGUAGCCCUAUAGACUGUUUUUCAUACAC